GAUGAAGGAACGCAGUGAAAUGCGAUAAGUAAUGUGAAUUGCAGAAUUCAGUGAAUCAUCGAAUCUUUGAACGCACAUUGCGCCCCUUGGUAUUCCGAGGGGCAUGCCUGUUCGAGCGUCAUUAUAACCCUCAAGCUCAGCUUGGUGUUGGGGCCUGCUGCACUGGCAGCCCUUAAAAUCAGUGGCGGCGCCAUCUGGCUCUAAGCGUAGUAAUUCUUCUCGCUAUGGAGUCCUGGUGGAUGCUUGCCAUCAACCCCCAAUUUUUCUAUGGUUGACCUCGGAUCAGGUAGGGAUACCCGCUGAACUUAAGCAUAUCAUAAGCGGAGGA
RNAcentral lists this unclassified non-coding RNA (328 nucleotides) under soil metagenome. RNAcentral's name for it is "partial contains 5.8S ribosomal RNA, internal transcribed spacer 2, and large subunit ribosomal RNA". The stretch from base 1 to 121 matches the Rfam family "5.8S ribosomal RNA", at positions 35 to 154 of the family's 154-position model. The record is from RNAcentral.